Molecule: ribosomal RNA, 604 nt
Filed under: Salmonella enterica
Lineage: Bacteria; Pseudomonadati; Pseudomonadota; Gammaproteobacteria; Enterobacterales; Enterobacteriaceae
Description: partial 23S ribosomal RNA
Rfam family: Bacterial large subunit ribosomal RNA
Source: RNAcentral
AGUGGAAGCGUCUGGAAAGGCGCGCGAUACAGGGUGACAGCCCCGUACACAAAAGCGCAUGUGCUGUGAGCUCGAUGAGUAGGGCGGGACACGUGGUAUCCUGUCUGAAUAUGGGGGGACCAUCCUCCAAGGCUAAAUACUCCUGACUGACCGAUAGUGAACCAGUACCGUGAGGGAAAGGCGAAAAGAACCCCGGCGAGGGGAGUGAAAAAGAACCUGAAACCGUGUACGUACAAGCAGUGGGAGCACAGGUUUACCUGUGUGACUGCGUACCUUUUGUAUAAUGGGUCAGCGACUUAUAUUCUGUAGCAAGGUUAACCGAAUAGGGGAGCCGGAGGGAAACCGAGUCUUAAUUGGGCGUUAAGUUGCAGGGUAUAGACCCGAAACCCGGUGAUCUAGCCAUGGGCAGGUUGAAGGUUGGGUAACACUAACUGGAGGACCGAACCGACUAAUGUUGAAAAAUUAGCGGAUGACCUGUGGCUGGGGGUGAAAGGCCAAUCAAACCGGGAGAUAGCUGGUUCUCCCCGAAAGCUAUUUAGGUAGCGCCUCGUGAAUUCAUCUCCGGGGGUAGAGCACUGUUUCGGCUAGGGGGCCAUCCCGGCUU